AUUGAACGCUGGCGGCAUGCUUUACACAUGCAAGUCGAACGGCAGCGCGGGCUUCGGCCUGGCGGCGAGUGGCGAACGGGUGAGUAAUGCAUCGGAACGUGCCCAGUAGUGGGGGAUAGCCCGGCGAAAGCCGGAUUAAUACCGCAUACGACCUGAGGGUGAAAGCGGGGGACCGAAAGGCCUCGCGCUAUUGGAGCGGCCGAUGUCGGAUUAGCUAGUUGGUGGGGUAAAGGCUUACCAAGGCGACGAUCCGUAGCUGGUCUGAGAGGACGACCAGCCACAUUGGGACUGAAGAACGGCCCAGCCCCCGAGGGGGGGCAGAGGGGGGGAAUUUUGGAAAAGGGGGGAAACCCUGACCCGCCCAUGCCGGGGGGGGAAAGAAGGCCUUCGGGUUGAAAACCGUUUUUGUUGGGGAAAAAAUCCUCUGGGCUAAACCCCCGGGGGGAUGACGGUACCGGAAAAAAAAGCACCGGCUAACUACUG
This 483-nucleotide ribosomal RNA is filed under the name uncultured bacterium. RNAcentral describes it as "partial 16S ribosomal RNA". It matches the Rfam family "Bacterial small subunit ribosomal RNA", at positions 29 to 506 of the family's 1533-position model. The record is from RNAcentral.